AUGGGUUUCAAAACAGUCUCCUGCCAUCUUUUCUGCAGUUUAGAGAAUGGCACUGGCUUCGCAGAGGAAGGUGCAUUGGAAACAGCUAAUACAGAAGACAGGGAAAACAGGAGGAAAGCAGGCCACAGACAGAGUCUCACUCUGUUACCCAGUCAGUCACCCAGGUUGGAAUACAAUGGCACCAUCUGAGCUCACUGCAACCUCCACCUCCUGAAUUCAAGUGAUUCUCCUGCUUCAGCCUCCUGAGUAGCUGGGAUUACAGGUGCUCACCACCAGGCAUGGCUAAUUUUUGUAUUUUAAGUAUAGAUGAGAGUUUCACCACAUUGGUCAGGCCGGUCUCAAACUCCUGACCCCGUGAUCUGCCAGCCUCAGCCUCCCAGAGUGCUGGGAUUACAGGCAUGAACUACUGCACCUGGCCCCAAUCUCUUUUCUUAAUGUCCUUGCCCAGUGUUGGCUGCCUCAAGGGCUCACAAUUCUGACAGUAUGAAAAACCAGAGAUGUAACCAGUUACACCACUGUCUUUGGAGCAGCUUCCAAGAACUCGGCUUCAAGUAUGGG
RNAcentral lists this long non-coding RNA (558 nucleotides) under Callithrix jacchus (white-tufted-ear marmoset). RNAcentral's name for it is "lncRNA (ENSCJAG00000073543.1)". Lineage: Eukaryota; Metazoa; Chordata; Mammalia; Primates; Cebidae. The record is from RNAcentral.